GACGAACGCUGGCGGCGUGCUUAACACAUGCAAGUCGAACGGAAAGGCCCUGCUUUUGUGGGGUGCUCGAGUGGCGAACGGGUGAGUAACACGUGAGUAACCUGCCCUUGACUUUGGGAUAACUUCAGGAAACUGAGGCUAAUACCGGAUAGGAGCUACUGCUGCAUGGUGGUGGUUGGAAAGUUUCGGCGGUUGGGGAUGGACUCGCGGCUUAUCAGCUUGUUUGUGGGGUAGUGGCUUACCAAGCCUUUGACGGGUAGCCGGCCUGAGAGGCUGACCGGCCACAUUGGGACUGCGAGACGGACCAGACUCCUACGGGAGGCAGCAGUCGGGAAUAUUGCACAAUGGGCGGAAGCCUGAUGCAGCAACGCCGCGUGCGUGAUGACGGCCUUCGGGUUGUAAACCGCUUUCGCCUGUGACGAAGCGUGAGUGACGGUAAUUGGUAAAGAAGCCCCGGCUAACUACGUG
This 468-nucleotide ribosomal RNA is filed under the name uncultured bacterium. RNAcentral's name for it is "partial 16S ribosomal RNA". It matches the Rfam family "Bacterial small subunit ribosomal RNA", at positions 28 to 507 of the family's 1533-position model. The record is from RNAcentral.